Molecule: ribosomal RNA, 1126 nt
Filed under: Klebsiella pneumoniae
Lineage: Bacteria; Pseudomonadati; Pseudomonadota; Gammaproteobacteria; Enterobacterales; Enterobacteriaceae
Description: bacterial SSU rRNA
Rfam family: Bacterial small subunit ribosomal RNA
Source: RNAcentral
AGAGUUUGAUCAUGGCUCAGAUUGAACGCUGGCGGCAGGCCUAACACAUGCAAGUCGAGCGGUAGCACAGAGAGCUUGCUCUCGGGUGACGAGCGGCGGACGGGUGAGUAAUGUCUGGGAAACUGCCUGAUGGAGGGGGAUAACUACUGGAAACGGUAGCUAAUACCGCAUAAUGUCGCAAGACCAAAGUGGGGGACCUUCGGGCCUCAUGCCAUCAGAUGUGCCCAGAUGGGAUUAGCUAGUAGGUGGGGUAACGGCUCACCUAGGCGACGAUCCCUAGCUGGUCUGAGAGGAUGACCAGCCACACUGGAACUGAGACACGGUCCAGACUCCUACGGGAGGCAGCAGUGGGGAAUAUUGCACAAUGGGCGCAAGCCUGAUGCAGCCAUGCCGCGUGUGUGAAGAAGGCCUUCGGGUUGUAAAGCACUUUCAGCGGGGAGGAAGGCGUUAAGGUUAAUAACCUUGUCGAUUGACGUUACCCGCAGAAGAAGCACCGGCUAACUCCGUGCCAGCAGCCGCGGUAAUACGGAGGGUGCAAGCGUUAAUCGGAAUUACUGGGCGUAAAGCGCACGCAGGCGGUCUGUCAAGUCGGAUGUGAAAUCCCCGGGCUCAACCUGGGAACUGCAUUCGAAACUGGCAGGCUAGAGUCUUGUAGAGGGGGGUAGAAUUCCAGGUGUAGCGGUGAAAUGCGUAGAGAUCUGGAGGAAUACCGGUGGCGAAGGCGGCCCCCUGGACAAAGACUGACGCUCAGGUGCGAAAGCGUGGGGAGCAAACAGGAUUAGAUACCCUGGUAGUCCACGCCGUAAACGAUGUCGAUUUGGAGGUUGUGCCCUUGAGGCGUGGCUUCCGGAGCUAACGCGUUAAAUCGACCGCCUGGGGAGUACGGCCGCAAGGUUAAAACUCAAAUGAAUUGACGGGGGCCCGCACAAGCGGUGGAGCAUGUGGUUUAAUUCGAUGCAACGCGAAGAACCUUACCUGGUCUUGACAUCCACAGAACUUUCCAGAGAUGGAUUGGUGCCUUCGGGAACUGUGAGACAGGUGCUGCAUGGCUGUCGUCAGCUCGUGUUGUGAAAUGUUGGGUUAAGUCCCGCAACGAGCGCAACCCUUAUCCUUUGUUGCCAGCGGU